UACAGAGGUCCCAAGCGUUGUUCGGAUUCACUGGGCGUAAAGGGUGCGUAGGCGGCGGGGAAAGUCUGAUGUGAAAUCCUGGGGCUCAACCCUGGAACUGCAUUGGAUACUUCCUUGCUAGAGUACUGGAGAGGAAACUGGAAUUUACGGUGUAGCAGUGAAAUGCGUAGAGAUCGUAAGGAAGACCAGUGGCGAAGGCGAGUUUCUGGACAGUUACUGACGCUGAGGCACGAAGGCCAGGGGAGCAAACGGG
This 253-nucleotide ribosomal RNA is filed under the name uncultured bacterium. Its description in RNAcentral is "partial 16S ribosomal RNA". It matches the Rfam family "Bacterial small subunit ribosomal RNA", at positions 524 to 776 of the family's 1533-position model. The record is from RNAcentral.